AUGUAUAUGUGUAUUUGCAUAUGUAAACACGAGCCUUAUAUCUAAAAUAAGCUAACUUGUUAUAAUUUUUUACUGUUAUACAAAAUAGAACUUCAAAAUAUUUUACUUUCAUGCUUUAUUUCUAUGUUCUUCAUUUAAAUCACAUGUUGAAAAUUAUUAUUGAGCCUAUUACAAAAUGAUCAAAUAUACAUAUGCAUCAAUGUGAGAUUACAUGAAAAGCAA
Molecule: long non-coding RNA, 222 nt
Filed under: Physcomitrium patens
Lineage: Eukaryota; Viridiplantae; Streptophyta; Bryopsida; Funariales; Funariaceae
Description: long non-coding RNA (PPAT_LNC007066)
Source: RNAcentral